This 357-nucleotide long non-coding RNA is filed under the name Homo sapiens (human). RNAcentral describes it as "SEMA3B antisense RNA 1 (SEMA3B-AS1)". Lineage: Eukaryota; Metazoa; Chordata; Mammalia; Primates; Hominidae. The record is from RNAcentral.
AACCCCAGCUCCAGGGGCUCAGCAGGCAAAGGGAAUCACUGAGUGGGGGCACCACCCGUGGACUCCAAUAUCUCAACCUCUCCCUCCACAGGUUGGAGGUGGGAGGAACAACCCCCACCAAACCCAGAGCCGAAAACUGAGGGAGUUUUACAGACAGGACGGAGCUCCUGCACCUCGGAGCCUCAGUUGGGAAUGACCUGGGGUCUUGUCCUGAAGCUGAGUCUGGUGAACGUGCCCCAUUUGUAACAUGAGGGGUACUUCUCUGGAGGGACUGUAUGUUGACAGUGGCAGAGUGGAGCCCUGAAGUCCACCUGAGUGAAUAUACCAGGGCUUGAGAAAAAAAAAAAAAAAAAAAAA